Non-coding RNA from Pogona vitticeps (central bearded dragon), 282 nucleotides. The record is from RefSeq and is a predicted model, not a curated record. Lineage: Eukaryota; Metazoa; Chordata; Lepidosauria; Squamata; Agamidae.
AGCGCAACGUGUACAACUGAAACCACUCAGGAGUGUCAGUCCAGUCAAGACGUCUGUGUUUCAUCUGUCUCAGAAGUCACCAUGAAUGACUUGAGGGUGUCCUUAUCUUUCAAAUCGUGCCUUGACCAUCGGUUCUGCCAGGCAGGCUUUUAUACUGCCAGUGUGGAAGAAGAUGUUCACAUUCGGACCCAGAUCACCUGCUGCCAGGAGGACCAGUGUAACAGUGGGGCUCUUCAGUUACCUGAUCCGGAAAAGCUGGUUGCCAAUGGGUUUCAAUGCGAA